GACGCUGAAGUUUUGGGUUGGAGCCAAGGUUACUGCAGCCACAACGCGGAGUGCUAACCUUGCUGGCAGAUGCUGAGUUUCCUUUAAUAUUUUCGAGGUUUGAAAUUUUUCAAAGUACAUAAUUGUAGGGGAAAAUGAUUGUAAAAUACAGCAGACUGUGAAGAGCUAGCUGAGUCCUGGACUAAAAAUUGGCUGUCUAUGGGUGUCCCCCUUGCAGGAGGGUGUGACAGUCCUCAAUACCAUGCAUUGGUACAAGAAAAUGUAAGUCACUAGUCUGCUGUACAAAUUCAUCUAAAGGAUCCCUUCCUGCCACCCAGGAUUUGUCCUUCCUACGUGAAUCAGCCUUCUGGCCUGGAAAUCUGAUAUCUGGAAUUUAAAGAGUCAUCAAGUCACUGAUUCACAUGCUGGAGCUUGGGCUGACGGCUGAGCAGUGUCUCACGAUGGAGUGAGGAUCAAGAAAUGAAAGUCAGGAAAGGAGAGAAACUGCAGGCCCAGCAGACACUCUGGUGGUGGGGGACGCAUUGGAAGCCCAAUAAAGGGGAAGAUUUGUGUGGAGGAGUCAGCAUGGACAUGAGGGAAGCUGCAGAGAGGGGGCCUCAGACCUUUCUGUGGAGCUAGGCCCUAGACUUUGCUGGUCUUGGUAAAAUUAGGGACAAGGAUGAACCCCAAGUGGAAAGCAGCAUGUACAAGAAAGUCACUUUUAGGGGGCCGGCCUGGUGGCGCAAGUGGUUAAGUGCGCGCGCUCCACUGCGGCGGCCUGGGGUUCGCCGGUUCCGAUCCUGGGUGCACACCAACACACCGCUUGUCAAGCCAUGCUGUGGUGGCGUCCCAUAUAAAGUAGAGGAAGAUGGGCAUGGAUGUUAGCCCGGAGCCAGUCUUCCUCAGCAAAAAGAGGAGGAUUGGCAGAUGUUAGCUCAGGGCCAAUCUUCCUCACACACAAAAAAAGUCAUUUUUAUCACCCUUGUUUAUUUUAUACUCCACCAGGCCAGACUUUUGGUUGAGGGCUCAUUUUUAAUGCUUAUGGGUAAGCAACAUUGGGAGGAGGCCAUGACAAUCAUUGGCUCUGGAGAUUUGGAGGAGGAAGCUCUGGAAAAGGAAACCCUUGUUUUCAUCAACUCUUUUCCUCAGCAAAGCUUAUGUGUGUCCCAGAUAUCACAUUGAAGCUACCACAUUGGUGGACUGAAUGAGUGCUGCUGAUAAUUUCUUUCUUGAAGGGGCAACAAUGAUUGAUCCAGGGUUAUGGGAAUGAGAUGCAAGAGCAGAACUUAAAAUACUUUUCUCUGUCUUAUCUCCUCUCUGUUACCUCUGAAUAUCAACUUUUCACACACACCGGUUCAAGAUAGCCUUGAGUCUCUACUGAGAGUUACAAUUUUUUCAUAGGUUCUAGAACCACGUUUCCCUCUUGUUUCUACAAUUCUUUUAGAGGAAGCUGGAUUUCGAGGAAGCCAGUCAGUAGCCUAGACUUGUUCAACAUCCUAUAUUAUUUGAAUUUUCUUAGCUGUCAAUAAAUAUCAUAUAAUGCUCAGUUUUAUUUUAUUUCAUUUUUCCUGAAUACUUCUCACAUUGAGUUCUCCAUCCUUCUGCUCACAUUUCCUCUGAUUGCUCUCUAAGUUAACUUUAUAUCUGUCAUCCUAUGGUUUCUCUACUCCUCUCGAUUGUGGUGGAUGUCUGUGUUUUAGAUUUUAUGUCUUUCUCCUCCUUGAUUUUUCACUCUCAUUUUACUGGAAGCUAAUGUUCCUAAUACACCUUCACACGUUUGAUCGUUUGUGUAUAAAAUUCUAGUUUAAAAGCAGUUUUCCUUAAUUUUUUCUUGCUUUAAUGUUGUUUUAAGAGCUUCCAUGACAUUCUGAGAAUCC
Long non-coding RNA from Diceros bicornis minor, 1856 nucleotides. RefSeq lists it as uncharacterized. Lineage: Eukaryota; Metazoa; Chordata; Mammalia; Perissodactyla; Rhinocerotidae. The record is from RefSeq and is a predicted model, not a curated record. The transcript is spliced from 3 exons.